GUCGAACGGUGAACACGGAGCUUGCUCUGUGGGAUCAGUGGCGAACGGGUGAGUAACACGUGAGCAACCUGCCCCUGACUCUGGGAUAAGCGCUGGAAACGGCGUCUAAUACUGGAUAUGUGACGUGACCGCAUGGUCUGCGUUUGGAAAGAUUUUUCGGUUGGGGAUGGGCUCGCGGCCUAUCAGCUUGUUGGUGAGGUAAUGGCUCACCAAGGCGUCGACGGGUAGCCGGCCUGAGAGGGUGACCGGCCACACUGGGACUGAGACACGGCCCAGACUCCUACGGGAGGCAGCAGUGGGGAAUAUUGCACAAUGGGCGCAAGCCUGAUGCAGCAACGCCGCGUGAGGGAUGACGGCCUUCGGGUUGUAAACCUCUUUUAGCAGGGAAGAAGCGAAAGUGACGGUACCUGCAGAAAAAGCGCCGGCUAACUACGUGCCAGCAGCCGCGGUAAUACGUAGGGCGCAAGCGUUAUCCGGAAUUAUUGGGCGUAAAGAGCUCGUAGGCGGUUUGUCGCGUCUGCUGUGAAAUCCCGAGGCUCAACCUCGGGCCUGCAGUGGGUACGGGCAGACUAGAGUGCGGUAGGGGAGAUUGGAAUUCCUGGUGUAGCGGUGGAAUGCGCAGAUAUCAGGAGGAACACCGAUGGCGAAGGCAGAUCUCUGGGCCGUAACUGACGCUGAGGAGCGAAAGGGUGGGGAGCAAACAGGCUUAGAUACCCUGGUAGUCCACCCCGUAAACGUUGGGAACUAGUUGUGGGGUCCAUUCCACGGAUUCCGUGACGCAGCUAACGCAUUAAGUUCCCCGCCUGGGGAGUACGGCCGCAAGGCUAAAACUCAAAGGAAUUGACGGGGACCCGCACAAGCGGCGGAGCAUGCGGAUUAA
Molecule: ribosomal RNA, 880 nt
Filed under: Microbacterium sp. GB78
Lineage: Bacteria; Bacillati; Actinomycetota; Actinomycetes; Micrococcales; Microbacteriaceae
Description: bacterial SSU rRNA
Rfam family: Bacterial small subunit ribosomal RNA
Source: RNAcentral